CCCUGGCUGGCUUAGUCGGUGGAGCGCACGACUCUUGAUUUUGGGUUGUGAGUUCAAGCCCCACGCUGGAGG
Molecule: transfer RNA, 72 nt
Filed under: Canis lupus familiaris (dog)
Lineage: Eukaryota; Metazoa; Chordata; Mammalia; Carnivora; Canidae
Also listed under: 1 other name
Rfam family: tRNA
About the family: Transfer RNA (tRNA) molecules are approximately 80 nucleotides in length. Their secondary structure includes four short double-helical elements and three loops (D, anti-codon, and T loops).
Source: Rfam by way of RNAcentral